UACGUAGGGUGCAAGCGUUGUCCGGAAUCAUUGGGCGUAAAGAGCGUGUAGGCGGCCCGAUAAGUCCGCUGUGAAAUCUCGAGGCUCAACUUCGAGCUGUCGGUGGAAACUGUCUGGCUAGAGUCCGGAAGAGGAGAAUGGAAUUCCUGGUGUAGCGGUGAAAUGCGCAGAUAUCAGGAAGAACACCCGUGGCGAAGGCGGUUCUCUGGGACGGUACUGACGCUGAGACGCGAAAGCGUGGGUAGCAAACAGG
RNAcentral lists this ribosomal RNA (253 nucleotides) under uncultured bacterium. RNAcentral's name for it is "partial 16S ribosomal RNA". It matches the Rfam family "Bacterial small subunit ribosomal RNA", at positions 524 to 776 of the family's 1533-position model. The record is from RNAcentral.